GGGUCUGUAGCUCAGCAGGGAGAGCACCGCGCUUGCAUCGCGGAGGCAAGGGGUUCGAGUCCCCUCGGAUCCA
This 73-nucleotide transfer RNA is filed under the name Deltaproteobacteria bacterium. RNAcentral's name for it is "tRNA-Ala". It matches the Rfam family "tRNA". Rfam says of the family: Transfer RNA (tRNA) molecules are approximately 80 nucleotides in length. Their secondary structure includes four short double-helical elements and three loops (D, anti-codon, and T loops). The record is from RNAcentral. Lineage: Bacteria; Pseudomonadati; Myxococcota; Myxococcia.